Molecule: long non-coding RNA, 1450 nt
Filed under: Sorghum bicolor (sorghum)
Lineage: Eukaryota; Viridiplantae; Streptophyta; Magnoliopsida; Poales; Poaceae
Description: long non-coding RNA (SBIC_LNC011845)
Source: RNAcentral
CACCGUUUCGAGAAAGAAAAACUCCGGGAUGACGAGCAGCUCACCGCGAAGUCGACUGCGUCCUCGGUUCGGUCCAAAAGGGAAUAGGAGGAGCGCGCGGCGGUGGCAGUUCGACUCCAGGCUCGGCGGGAUCUCGAACUCGGCGAAGAGCGGCGUCUAGGGCUUGGUUUCGCGGCGGGUUUGAAGCAACGGAGCGCGACCGACGUCUAAGACCUUUAUAGGGGCUUGCGGCGCACGGAAAUCGAUCCGGGUAUCACGGGAUUGAUUCGGUGAUUUCCACCGAGUCCGGCUCGAAGACGCUCGAGGAAGAGGAUUGGAGCGCUGACAUGCGGGGCCCGGCUGGCGGUGGGAGAAGAGAAUGGGCCCGCUCGUCAUCCACACAGAGAGAGAGGGAAAACGCGCGGGUCGGCCUGGCGCCUAGUGGGCCGCGCAAGCAGGCCGGAGGUGGAGGAGGCGCGCGGGGGGUUUCUGGGCUGCGGCCUGGUUAUUCCAGGGAGGUUUUCCUUUUUUUUUUCUUUUCUUUUCUGGUUUCAAAACCAAUUAUAAACAUUUUUAAAAACAUUUAAAUUCAGUUAGUAGCUUGUUCAAAAUCACUCAUCUCAAAAAUAAAAUGCACCAGCAUGAUUAACACACAAUUGUUGCUAAGCCUUAUAAUAAAUUUUAUUUUAAAGAAAAAAAUAUUAUUCUCCCUAUAUUCUCAUGAGCACAAAAAUACAAAAUUAAAUCAUUUUUCACCUAUUUCAAAGGUUGCAAAUUUUUGGGUGUUACAUGAUCACCAAAACCAAAUCCCUAAGCAAUACCUUUGCCUUGAUCUCCAUAGGGUUUUGUUUUUCUCUUUCUUCUUUUCAAAGCUGAGCACUUGAUCAUAUUGUGGUCAUCAACAUCAUCACUAUGAUCAUUACUUGCUCCAUCACUUGGCAUGUACUAACCUUAUUAAGUCUACACACACUCAGUAUAGAAGUUAGUAGGUUUCAUCAAUUAUCCAAAACCAAACUAGGGAUUUCAGUUAUGUCUCCCAUUAUUUCGACUAUCGCCCCCAGUAGGAAAAUACCUUAGUACACUUAGAAUAUCACAGCCAGAUUGUUUCUACUAGAUAGACCUCUUUAUACCUAAUCCUAAACCCCUUUGAUCAUCACCUGACGAUCUUAACCUAGUUGAAUCACUUUGCAUUCCCUGUUGAAAAUACAAUGCCUGGAUACUCCCGGUUAAGGCUACAUUGACUACUGUACGCUUGCGGUAUAUUCGUUUGCCACUUCUGGUGUCAACACUAAUUAUGACUAAGAUGGGAUCUUCUGACCCACCGACUUCUCAACCACUGCUAAUUGUUGUUAGAGAUCUUGUGCUUGUACUUUUGAAACAAGAGAGAGUGCACUACUUAAUGUGUUGCUCUACAUCAUUGAUAUUUGUGGAUACCACAUCGGUGACCUACAUUUCACCGAGUACAUAAUAC